AGUACGCAACACUUUCCAUUCGGAAACUCCAAAGGCACAAAGAGUCCAUGUUUCGUGCCCAUUGGAGACUGCUGGUCUAAUCAGCGUUUUGUAGAUUGUUAACUUCGUGUUACGGCGAACUUUGUUCGAUCAUAGAGUUCUGCGGAGUCCAAAGUUAGCUCGAUUUCCUGCCACAAUGCGCCUCUGAAUUUCUCUGCUAAUGUCAUUGUCGUCGGUCACCAGUGAGCCCAAGUACAUGAAUUCUUCAACCGCCUCGAUUUCAUCACCGUCGAUAUAAAUUCUGGGUGGCAGGCGCGGUAAAUCCUCCCUAGAACACUUUGCCAUCAUAUACUUUGUCUUCGAUACAUUAAUGACUAAUCCGAAUCGCCAAAAAGAACAGUGGGUUCAGUAAAAAACAAGAUGCGGUUUCACGAUACAUCGUGUACAGAAGGCGCUAGUGAUAAACUUCAAAACGAAAGAAAGACGAUGGGCACGCCUUAGAAGAGAAGUGCUUAGCUACAUGAACUUCAAACAAUCAUCGAAAGCGUGGUCGAUGGAAGUCUCACCAGUGUAUAAUAAAAUGUUAAACGAUUUUUAGAGCGAAUAUUAAGGACUGUAUCGGAAAUUAACUAAAAACGUUCAUAACUGUCUAAAAAAUAAUCUAUUCGAAAUAAACAUAACUUUAUUUUUGGAGAUUUUAUUCAGAUUAUUAUUUUAUGUUCUGUACUCAUUGAGCCAUAUUUUCAAUAAUUCUAAACAUUUUCCAAAUUUCUUCAAUCUGUUCUAAACUUAAAUAUAUUGUGAAGAUUUCAUAGAAGAACCGGAAUAAAACGACCAACCGUGCUUCGAGAUAGAGCAUUUUGAAACAGUCCUUUAGUUAUGAAUCUCUGUGGUUCGUGCUUUUGUUGACAGAAACUUUCUUCAAAUAUAAUCGAGCAAUCCUGUAUUAACAUAUAACUGUUUCCCGAUUGAUGUGUUCUACUCGGUAAAACAUCUGUUUCGUAUUUCCG
Aedes albopictus (Asian tiger mosquito) is the source of this 989-nucleotide long non-coding RNA. RefSeq lists it as uncharacterized. Lineage: Eukaryota; Metazoa; Arthropoda; Insecta; Diptera; Culicidae. The record is from RefSeq and is a predicted model, not a curated record. The transcript has 2 exons.